GGUUCUUUGUUGGCUGUUCAAAGGAUGGUGUGUAGGGGUAGAGGGAGACGACAAGCACAGAUAAGGGGGAAGGGAUGGCGCCGGCUCCGGCGCCGGCCUCGCCGGUGACGACGGCAGUAUAUUUUUGGAGAAACAAAUGCCUCCUUUGUUAACAAUAUUUAAGAUUCAUUAAACAUGUGGGACAUACUCUAAUACAACUCUCCUUAAUACCCGUGCCGAAAAG
Molecule: long non-coding RNA, 223 nt
Filed under: Salvia miltiorrhiza (redroot sage)
Lineage: Eukaryota; Viridiplantae; Streptophyta; Magnoliopsida; Lamiales; Lamiaceae
Description: long non-coding RNA (SMIL_LNC012506)
Source: RNAcentral